UACAGCCACAUCAUGUUGCAACCGCGGUUCUCGUACGAUCAGCGAAGUUAAGCAACGUCGACCUUGACCAUUACCUAGAUGGGUGACCCCUUGGAAAUACCAGGUACUGUAAG
This is a non-coding RNA of Acanthosepion pharaonis, 113 nucleotides long. The record is from the annotation of a GenBank genome assembly. NCBI's taxonomy places the organism in Eukaryota, Metazoa, Mollusca, Cephalopoda, Sepiida, Sepiidae.